RNAcentral lists this ribosomal RNA (927 nucleotides) under uncultured marine bacterium. Its description in RNAcentral is "bacterial SSU rRNA". It matches the Rfam family "Bacterial small subunit ribosomal RNA", at positions 8 to 916 of the family's 1533-position model. The record is from RNAcentral.
AGAGUUUGAUCCUGGCUCAGAUUGAACGCUGGCGGUAGGCUUAACACAUGCAAGUCGAGCGGUAACAGACAUUUUGAUUUUGCUUGCAAAAUCUCGUGCUGACGAGCGGCGAACGGGUGAGUAACGCGUAGGAAUCUACCUAGUAGAAGGGGAUAGCCCGAGGAAACUCGGAUUAAUACCGUAUACGUCCUUAGGGAGAAAGAGGGCUUAGCUUUGAUGCUCUCGCUAUUAGAUGAGCCUGCGUAAGAUUAGCUUGUUGGUGAGGUAAAGGCUCACCAAGGCGACGAUCUUUAGCUGGUCUGAGAGGACGAUCAGCCACAUUGGGACUGAGACACGGCCCAGACUCCUGCGGGAGGCAGCAGUGGGGAAUAUUGGACAAUGGGCGCAAGCCUGAUCCAGCCAUACCGCGUGUGUGAAGAAGGCCUUCGGGUUGUAAAGCACUUUAAGUAAGGAAGAAAAGAGUAUUGUUAAUACCAUUACUCCGUGACAUUACUUACAGAAUAAGGACCGGCUAAUUCCGUGCCAGCAGCCGCGGUAAUACGGAAGGUCCAAGCGUUAAUCGGAAUUACUGGGCGUAAAGCGCGCGUAGGUGGUUUAUUAAGUUGGGUGUGAAAGCCCCGGGCUCAACCUGGGAACUGCAUCCAAAACUGAUUCACUAGAGUACGAAAGAGGAAAGUAGAAUUCACAGUGUAGCGGUGGAAUGCGUAGAUAUUGUGAAGAAUACCGAUGGCGAAGGCAGCUUUCUGGUUCUGUACUGACACUGAGGUGCGAAAGCGUGGGGAGCGAACAGGAUUAGAUACCCUGGGUAGUCCACGCCCUAAACGAUGCUUACUCGAUGUUUGUACAUAAGUAUGAGCAUCCAAAGGAAACCGUUAAGUAAGCCACCUGGGGAGUACGUUCGCAGAAUGAAACUCAAGGAAUUGACGG